Molecule: ribosomal RNA, 427 nt
Filed under: Ixodes scapularis (black-legged tick)
Lineage: Eukaryota; Metazoa; Arthropoda; Arachnida; Ixodida; Ixodidae
Description: partial 12S ribosomal RNA
Source: RNAcentral
UAAAAAAUUUUGGCGGUAUUUUAAGCUUAUUAGAGGAAUUUGCUCUGUGAUGGACACAACGCCUUAAUCUUACUUAAUUUAGUAAUUUAAAUCAGUUUGUAUACCACUAUAUUAAUUAUAUUGAAUAGUUAUAUUUAAAAUUUUUUUAAAAAAAAUAUAUUAAGUCAAGGUGCAUCUAAUAAUUAUGAAUGAAGUGAAUUACAUUAAUUUUAAUGUAAUUUUUUACAUGAAAAAAUUAAUUAGGAUUUAAUAGUAAAAUACUAAUAUUAUGAGUAUUUGAAUCAAGCUCUAAAAUAUGCACAUAUCGCCCGUCGCUCUCAGAAGUGAGAUAAGUCGUAACAAAGUAAAAAUACUGGAAAGUGUUUUUUAAAAUGAAAUCAUUCGAUGUUUCAUUUACAAUGAAAAUUUUGUUAUUUAACCAUUUUAA